ACAUACAAAUUAAAAUAAUAAAUAACUACAAGAAUAAAAUAAUAAAUUAAAACGUGCACUACCAGAACAUUCAAUCAAUAAUAAAUAACAAAAUAGUCCCGAAACAUGGGCAAACAAACAUAUAUACAUUUUUACAAAACUCGCAGCAAAACAAUUUUACAACCCUAUUUACAAUAUAUACAUUUAGAUCGCAUUCGAUCUUUCGCUUCGGUGUACCCCUUGCGAAGGCGGGAUUCACCGGCGGGCAAAAUGUCACUUUGAUCGAUGAAUCGAUCGACGAUCGAUCAUCGGUGACAGAUCGCGAAACGUCACUCUUCGGGAAACGAUCAGACGUCAAACAUAUCGGCAUGAUCAAUGUUUUUGUUUACAGUGAUCAUGGUGAUAUGUUGAGUGAUAAUUGGGUCGUGUGUUUCAAUGAAAUUGGCCAAAUUUCAUUGAACCAAUAGGGUGUAUUGGUGUUAUCAAUGGGGUGAAAUUCCCCCAGAAAUAUGGACUGUUUUGCUGCCAGAGCAACAUCUUCCUGUGGAAGAUUUGCCUGCAGAAAACUUUUGGGAUCGCGGGACUUCCAUGCGAGCCAUCUUGCAUGCUGCAAGAUGCACUGCAGGUAGGUAAUAACAUUGAUUAAAGUGCACAUAAUUAAUCAAAAAAUUCAAUCGAUCACAACUAGUGAUCGCAAAAGUGACUCAAGGGUCAACAUUGGUUGACUAGUGGAGGUUUAUUUACCAGUCUUACCGUGAUGAGUGCUGGUUUAACACCCCAGUUCCUGCCACGGGAACUUUUGAUUGGGAUUAAUUGAUCCACAAUCAAAUUAUGUGAAAAGUUGUCUCUUCACAAAUUUUCCACAAAAUUUUUAACUGACACUUUUCACACUACUAAUGUUGCUCUUUAUUCCUCUUUGCAGAACGAUACCAUCAAUGAUUUCACAGUUAGCGUAGGGACCUCAGCGGUGGAAUUUUGGGUGGAAUUUGCGCACUGAGCUCCGAGGACCUGAACGGAUAACUCCUCGCCAGCCCAUGCAUUCCGCUCCCGACUUCCUGCCUGGCCCACUACUUGGCUGUUGCCGAAAUACAUUGUGUAUGU
This is a long non-coding RNA of Aedes albopictus (Asian tiger mosquito), 1080 nucleotides long. RefSeq lists it as uncharacterized. NCBI's taxonomy places the organism in Eukaryota, Metazoa, Arthropoda, Insecta, Diptera, Culicidae. The transcript has 2 exons. The record is from RefSeq and is a predicted model, not a curated record.